GAUUCUGCCCUACGGGGAAGGAUGAGAAGCUUCGACUAAGGUUCGACUCGAACGCCAGCGAGAGAACGUUGCCGCAGGCAAUGGCCCGAAGGGCGAGGAGCGAUAGCGACGAGUUAUCCUUCCCCCUCUAUUC
Molecule: small RNA, 133 nt
Filed under: Klebsiella variicola
Lineage: Bacteria; Pseudomonadati; Pseudomonadota; Gammaproteobacteria; Enterobacterales; Enterobacteriaceae
Also listed under: 6 other names
Description: RtT sRNA
Rfam family: RtT RNA
About the family: This family represents a bacterial cis-regulatory element known as RtT RNA.
Source: RNAcentral